This 1057-nucleotide long non-coding RNA is filed under the name Marmota monax (woodchuck). Lineage: Eukaryota; Metazoa; Chordata; Mammalia; Rodentia; Sciuridae. The record is from RNAcentral.
UUGGUGACCUUGGGCAAGUUAACCUCUGUCUACAAGUGGUUUCCUCAUCUAUAAAAUGAGAGGGUUGAACCCAAUAAUCUCCAGGGUCCUUCUAGGUCUGACAUCCUAGGAUUUAGAAACUGCAUUCAUUGUGAGUGGACAGCAGGGUUCUCAAAGGCCAACUACUGUGGCUAUGGGGGAUUCCCAAUAAUAUCAGGCCAGACAUGAGAAACGUCAUCCCCAUAAAUGGGCAAGACGAUGCUCAGUCCAUGCUCUGUUACUUGCAUGCAGUUUAUACAGUUUUCUGGAUUAAUUUAACUCAUAUUCUAACCCCCAGGUCUUCCUAUGCAGGACCACCUCUCUCCACAGCAGAGCUGCUGGAUACUCAGAGGAUGAAGGUGAUUAAUUCAUACGCAGACAUGCCAAGUGAUCACUAUCCAGUUCAAAGGAGACACCAUGGUUGGGGCACUUCACUUAUUCCAGUUGUGCUGACAAAGCUCAAAAUAUUUUAGGAACACCUCUUAGGGACAGUUCUUGGUGCAGGACAGAUCCAGAAGUGGCAUAUCUGUCCACUGAUGGAGGUUUGUGAUUAGAAAUGGCCCAAAUCUAAUAAAUAAGGUAGACAGAUGCUCAAGACAGUUAAUACAUUUUGGGGGACUACAUGAAACAUGCCAUCAAGUCACAAACUGGUCUUCUCUUUUGGACCCUACCCUGGCACUAAAGGUAUAUAAUUGUCAGUGGCUUAACUCAGUAGACGUUCCUGAGCAGUGGGAGAUUCUCCCUCACACAGUGAGUGAUUCAAGGACUCAAGUUCCUUCCAUCCUGUAGCUCCAUAGUCCUCUAGGGCUUUUAAGUCUUUUACAUUCAGCUAAUAGAAAAUAAAAGAGAAUAUAAAUAAGUCAGCCCACCUCCCACUUUCUCUUUAAUACUGACUCAUGUUCACAUUCAGUACUAGUUACCUGGUCCCUCCUAAAUAUAAAGGACUGGGAAAAUGUCAUUCCUGCUUAAUGGUGACUCUGUACUGAGGAGGGCAGUGUGGAGUUUUGGUGGACAGUUAACCAUCUUUAUGAAAGAGGGC